AGUGAACGCUGGCGGUAGGCCUAACACAUGCAAGUCGAACGGCAGCACAGUAAGAGCCUGCUCUUACGGGUGGCGAGUGGCGGACGGGUGCGGAAUACAUCGGAAUCUACUUUUUCGUGGGGGAUAACGUAGGGAAACUUACGCUAAUACCGCAUACGACCUACGGGUGAAAGCAGGGGAGCUUCGGACCUUGCGCGAUUGAAUGAGCCGAUGUCGGAUUAGCUAGUUGGCGGGGUAAAGGCCCACCAAGGCGACGAUCCGUAGCUGGUCUGAGAGGAUGAUCAGCCACACUGGAACUGAGACACGGUCCAGACUCCUACGGGAGGCAGCAGUGGGGAAUAUUGGACAAUGGGCGCAAGCCUGAUCCAGCCAUACCGCGUGGGUGAAGAAGGUCUUCGGGUUGUAAAGCCCUUUUGUUGGGAAAGAAAAGCAGCAGGUUAAUCCCCCGCUGUUCUGACGGUACCCAAAGAAUAAGCACCGGCUAACUUCGUG
This 492-nucleotide ribosomal RNA is filed under the name uncultured bacterium. Its description in RNAcentral is "partial 16S ribosomal RNA". It matches the Rfam family "Bacterial small subunit ribosomal RNA", at positions 29 to 507 of the family's 1533-position model. The record is from RNAcentral.